RNAcentral lists this ribosomal RNA (497 nucleotides) under uncultured bacterium. RNAcentral describes it as "partial 16S ribosomal RNA". It matches the Rfam family "Bacterial small subunit ribosomal RNA", at positions 28 to 507 of the family's 1533-position model. The record is from RNAcentral.
GAUGAACGCUGGCGGCGUGCCUAAUACAUGCAAGUCGAGCGAACAGACGAGGAGCUUGCUCCUCUGACGUUAGCGGCGGACGGGUGAGUAACACGUGGAUAACCUACCUAUAAGACUGGGAUAACUUCGGGAAACCGGAUCUAAUACCGGAUAAGAUAUUGAACCGCAGGGUUCAAUAGUGAAAGACGGUUUUGCUGUCACUAAUAGAUGGAUCCGCGCCGCAUUAGCUAGUUGGUAAGGUAACGGCUUACCAAGGCAACGAUGCGUAGCCGACCUGAGAGGGUGAUCGGCCACACUGGAACUGAGACACGGUCCAGACUCCUACGGGAGGCAGCAGUAGGGAAUCUUCCGCAAUGGGCGAAAGCCUGACGGAGCAACGCCGCGUGAGUGAUGAAGGUCUUCGGAUCGUAAAACUCUGUUAUUAGGGAAGAACAAAUGUGUAAGUAACUAUGCACGUCUUGACGGUACCUAAUCAGAAAGCCACGGCUAACUACGUG